GAUGAACGCUGGCGGCGUGCCUAAUACAUGCAAGUCGAGCGAACAGACGAGGAGCUUGCUCCUCUGACGUUAGCGGCGGACGGGUGAGUAACACGUGGAUAACCUACCUAUAAGACUGGGAUAACUUCGGGAAACCGGAGCUAAUACCGGAUAAUAUACUGAACCGCAUGGUUCAAUAGUGAAAGACGGUUUUGCUGUCACUUAUAGAUGGAUCCGCGCCGCAUUAGCUAGUUGGUAAGGUAACGGCUUACCAAGGCAACGAUGCGUAGCCGACCUGAGAGGGUGAUCGGCCACACUGGAACUGAGACACGGUCCAGACUCCUACGGGAGGCAGCAGUAGGGAAUCUUCCGCAAAGGGCGAAAGCUUGACGGAGCAACGCCGCGUGAGUGAUGAAGGUCUUCGGAUCGUAAAACUCUGUUAUUAGGGAAGAACAAAUGUGUAAGUAACUAUGCACGUCUUGACGGUACCUAAUCAGAAAGCCACGGCUAACUACGUG
Molecule: ribosomal RNA, 497 nt
Filed under: uncultured bacterium
Lineage: Bacteria
Description: partial 16S ribosomal RNA
Rfam family: Bacterial small subunit ribosomal RNA
Source: RNAcentral